Molecule: ribosomal RNA, 397 nt
Filed under: uncultured bacterium
Lineage: Bacteria
Description: partial 16S ribosomal RNA
Rfam family: Bacterial small subunit ribosomal RNA
Source: RNAcentral
AUACGUAGGUGGCAAGCGUUGUCCGGAAUUAUUGGGCGUAAAGCGCGCGCAGGUGGUUCCUUAAGUCUGAUGUGAAAGCCCCCGGCUCAACCGGGGAGGGUCAUUGGAAACUGGGGCACUUGAGUGAAGAAGAGGAUAGUGGAAUUCCAAGUGUAGCGGUGAAAUGCGUAGAGAUUUGGAGGAACACCAGUGGCGAAGGCGACUGUCUGGUCUGUAACUGACACUGAGGCGCGAAAGCGUGGGGAGCAAACAGGAUUAGAUACCCUGGUAGUCCACGCCGUAAACGAUGAGUGCUAAGUGUUGGGGGGUUUCCGCCCCUCAGUGCUGCAGCUAACGCAUUAAGCACUCCGCCUGGGGAGUACGGUCGCAAGACUGAAACUCAAAGGAAUUGACGGGG